This 446-nucleotide ribosomal RNA is filed under the name uncultured bacterium. Its description in RNAcentral is "partial 16S ribosomal RNA". It matches the Rfam family "Bacterial small subunit ribosomal RNA", at positions 338 to 795 of the family's 1533-position model. The record is from RNAcentral.
CCUACGGGGUGCAGCAGUCGAGAAUCAUUCACAAUGGGGGAAACCCUGAUGGUGCGACGCCGCGUGGGGGAAUGAAGGUCUUCGGAUUGUAAACCCCUGUCAUGUGGGAGCAAAUUAAAAAGAUAGUACCACAAGAGGAAGAGACGGCUAACUCAGUGCCAGCAGCCGCGGUAAUACAGAGGUCUCAAGCGUUGGUCGGAAUCACUGGGCGUAAAGCGUGCGUAGGCUGUUUCGGAGGUCGUGUGUGAAAGGCGCGGGCUCAACCAGCGGACGGCACAUGAUACUGCGAGACUAGAGUGAUGGAGGGGGAACCGGAAUUCUCGGUGUAGCAGUGAAAUGCGUAGAUAUCGAGAGGAACACUCGUGGCGAAGGCGGGUUCCUGGACAUUAACUGACGCUGAGGCACGAAGGCCAGGGGAGCGAAAGGGAUUAGAUACCCCGGUAGUC